CUUUCCUUCAACUAUAGCUACGCGAUCAGAUGAUUUGAAAUUUGUAGUCCCUUGAAGACCCAUCAUGGACCUGAGUAUUUGAAUUUCACUGUAGCAGAGAUGUGCUGAGCUAAAUGAAAUGAAAUGGACAAUUUUAAAGCCACUAUACACCUUGCCUUAGUUAUUACGCAAAGAAGAAAGAAGAAGGAUUUUUCUAUUGGCAGCUCUAAAGUGAGGUGGAGAAAGAAAAGGCAAAUCAUGUCAGUCUCUUUUCCUAGGAAAUCUCAAACGAUGUCAUAAAGAUUUGGACACAACUGAAAUGAUAGAACAACACUUGGAGGAACCAUCAAAAGACAUAACAUUGAUCUGAAGGAGACCAUCUUAUAUCCUAGCAAGCAAAAUUAAGGACAAUCAAAAAGGUUUUUAAAGCUAUUUUUGGGAAAGGGAACCAAAAAAGGAAUAGAACAUUUACUUCUGCCCUUUGUGCUGGAUAUACAAUUAAAUUCAACAGGAAUAAAAGGAAAAAUCCCUAACA
This 514-nucleotide long non-coding RNA is filed under the name Monodelphis domestica (gray short-tailed opossum). RNAcentral describes it as "lncRNA (ENSMODG00000051242.1)". Lineage: Eukaryota; Metazoa; Chordata; Mammalia; Didelphimorphia; Didelphidae. The record is from RNAcentral.